AUACGUAGGUGACAAGCGUUAUCCGGAUUUACUGGGUGUAAAGGGCGUGUAGGCGGUUUAGCAAGUCAGAAGUGAAAUUCCCGGGCUUAACUUGGGCGCUGCUUCUGAAACUGCUUUACUUGAGUGCUGGAGAGGCUAGUGGAUUUCCUCGUGGAGCGGGGAAAUGCGCAGAUAUUAGGAGGGACACCGGUGGCGAAGGCGGCUAUCUGGACAGUAACUGACGCUGAGGCGCGAAAGCACGGGGAGCAAACAGGAUUAGAUACCCUGGUAGUCCGUGCCGUAAACGAUGAAUACUAGGUGUAGGGGGUAUCGACUCCCUCUGUGCCGCAGUUAACACAUUAAGUAUUCCACCUGGGGAGUACGGCCGCAAGGUUGAAACUCAAAGGAAUCGACGGGG
This 397-nucleotide ribosomal RNA is filed under the name uncultured bacterium. RNAcentral describes it as "partial 16S ribosomal RNA". It matches the Rfam family "Bacterial small subunit ribosomal RNA", at positions 523 to 918 of the family's 1533-position model. The record is from RNAcentral.